Long non-coding RNA from Lemur catta (Ring-tailed lemur), 767 nucleotides. RefSeq lists it as uncharacterized. NCBI's taxonomy places the organism in Eukaryota, Metazoa, Chordata, Mammalia, Primates, Lemuridae. The transcript is spliced from 3 exons. The record is from RefSeq and is a predicted model, not a curated record.
CCUGUUGUUUGCGGGAGGCCGCGCGCGGAGAUCCGCCUCCCGCGCGUUCGCUCCCCUUCCCCGCGAGGGGCGAGGCCCGCGUAACCCCUUCCUCCCCAGAGGCCCGCCAGCCCCGUCGCUUCCCCUUCCGCUGCUGCCUUUCUCUUGCUCCGUCACCUGCCAGCUCCUUUUAACUCUUCCUCCCCUGAAUUGUCCAGGUGGCUUCCAACUAACCCCUUUCCUCCCAGAGUUACUCGACUGAACAUAAAGCCUUGGACGUGUAACGCGACCACCUGGGAAAGCAACCUUCUUGGUACCUGGCUUCCCUAGGGACAGGUGAGGGGAGGCGAUGUGUGUGGGGACGGAGAGCCCGCCCUGUCCCUGCGGUCCCGUCUCGCCGGGAGGACACAUCGUGCGCCGUCUUGCGGUCAAACGUGGCUUCCACAGCAGCAGAGGCAGAAAGAGAGAUCUGGGAGGGUUUCCCACCAGCAAGUCAAUGUUUCAGCCCAGAAGUGAGUGCCACUUUCCUCCUGCUUGCAAGUCAUUGGCUGGGAUUAGUCACAGGCCUCUAGGACGUGCAAUCCCACCAUGUGCCCAGGUUGGGGAGAAUCACCUUGAUGGGUCCUUUUAGUAAUGCAAGAGCCAAGACCCUCUUCUGGAACAGUUUGGAGGUACCACAUCUCCAAGGAGCUCAGGGAACUUGGAAUUGUAGAGGGUCCUUUUAAAGUGGGCAUUGUUGCCUCUCUGCCAAGUAUGUUUCUUUCAUAAAAGUUUAGCUGCACUAGUCC